UACGAAGGGGGCUAGCGUUGCUCGGAAUCACUGGGCGUAAAGCGCACGUAGGCGGAUUGCUAAGUCAGGGGUGAAAUCCUGGAGCUCAACUCCAGAACUGCCCUUGAUACUGGCGGUCUCGAGUCCGGGAGAGGUGAGUGGAACUGCGAGUGUAGAGGUGAAAUUCGUAGAUAUUCGCAAGAACACCAGUGGCGAAGGCGGCUCACUGGCUCGUAUCUGACGCUCAGGCGCGACAGCGUGGGGAUCAAACAGG
RNAcentral lists this ribosomal RNA (253 nucleotides) under uncultured bacterium. Its description in RNAcentral is "partial 16S ribosomal RNA". It matches the Rfam family "Bacterial small subunit ribosomal RNA", at positions 524 to 776 of the family's 1533-position model. The record is from RNAcentral.